This 467-nucleotide ribosomal RNA is filed under the name uncultured bacterium. RNAcentral describes it as "partial 16S ribosomal RNA". It matches the Rfam family "Bacterial small subunit ribosomal RNA", at positions 28 to 507 of the family's 1533-position model. The record is from RNAcentral.
GACGAACGCUGGCGGCGUGCUUAACACAUGCAAGUCGAACGGAAAGGCCCUGCUUUUGUGGGGUGCUCGAGUGGCGAACGGGUGAGUAACACGUGAGUAACCUGCCCUUGACUUUGGGAUAACUUCAGGAAACUGGGGCUAAUACCGGUAGGAGCUCCUGCUGCAUGGUGGGGGUUGGAAAGUUUCGGCGGUUGGGGAUGGACUCGCGGCUUAUCAGCUUGUUGGUGGGGUAGUGGCUUACCAAGGCUUUGACGGGUAGCCGGCCUGAGAGGGUGACCGGCCACAUUGGGACUGAGAUACGGCCCAGACUCCUACGGGAGGCAGCAGUGGGGAAUAUUGCACAAUGGGCGGAAGCCUGAUGCAGCAACGCCGCGUGCGGGAUGACGGCCUUCGGGUUGUAAACCGCUUUCGCCUGUGACGAAGCGUGAGUGACGGUAAUGGGUAAAGAAGCACCGGCUAACUACGUG